GCGACGACACCUUGAAGUGGACCACCGUGGAAGUGGGAGCGGGGUUGGCGCUCAGAGUCACGCCGGUGGCUUUCUGGACCGCCUGGACUCCGGUCAGGGAUUCCAUGUCCACCGAGCCCAGAACAGAAGGCGGAGGCGUGGCCACCUUCAUCGCCAGCCCGUAGGCGCCUCGGAAGGAAUGGCUGUCACGCACAAUGAAGCAUCCUGGCUCCUUGUCCUUCAGGACUGAAAUGGCUGCGUGACACAAAACAUCGAGAUCUACUCAGCACCAAGAUGGAACGGAGGUCGAAGAGGUCGACAAUUUCCCCUUUCAGGAAAUUCUAUCAAAGCCGCGCGUCCCGCCAUGCCGACACGUGGAUCCGCCCAAAACCUACCUUCGGAUUCAUCCUCGACAGGUCGUGUCUUUUCUCCGACAGGUUGAUGAUCUGAGAAAAGGACAGUCGCGCCGCGACCGACCGGGAGGAGGCACGUCGCUCACCAGGCUACUUCCCGGCACUUUGAAGCGGGGGCCCGAGAGGGAGCCGCGGAGCGGGCACGUUUCGGCCCGGCGGAACGAAAGAGGCCGCGCGGCCAAAGAGGUCAUCGCGCGGGGAAACGGAGAAGCGGCGGAUUCGUCCCGCGGAGGGCGGCGGCGGCGGCGGCGGGCGCCAAUGUAAAUACGUCUGAGGUGCAGAAGAAGUGCUGGUGGAAAGUCGCAGAUCCCUCAGCCCGUCAUGGAGCUGGCUCGCUUUUUUUUUUUUUUUUUUUUGCCUCGAGAUGGGAGUCCCAGGACUCGGAUUCAAGGUGCCUUCUUUUAU
Molecule: long non-coding RNA, 797 nt
Organism: Syngnathoides biaculeatus (alligator pipefish)
Lineage: Eukaryota; Metazoa; Chordata; Actinopteri; Syngnathiformes; Syngnathidae
Exons: 8
Source: RefSeq, a predicted model, not a curated record